This 391-nucleotide long non-coding RNA is filed under the name Anas platyrhynchos platyrhynchos (common mallard). RNAcentral describes it as "lncRNA (ENSAPLG00000017847.1)". Lineage: Eukaryota; Metazoa; Chordata; Aves; Anseriformes; Anatidae. The record is from RNAcentral.
GCCAUUUCAGGUAUGUUCUGUAUCCAAGGAACCCACAUAGAAUACACAGGAGCCAUGGCACACCUGCUCCCUUUUGAGGCAAGUGGCUUGGGGCCAAGGAGGUUACCCUAAAGCACGGAGUGUUACUACAUGCCUACAUGGUUGGAAACCAUCAUAUCAUAUGCAUGGCCAAGAAAGCCAGUCAAGCCUGUCACAAUCUGAAAGUCUCUCUUGGAAGUGUUUUGGCACUGAAGACAUGCUGAAUGGAAGCCAAUUGGAAGUGUCAUCCAAACAAGGCUACUAAUGACCAAAAGAACAUGUCCAAUGAUUCUGGAACUAGCACAACUUAACUGAACUGAAUAGCUUCCUACAGAAAAAAAAAAUAAUAAUAAAAUGAAAUCCAAUUUAUGCA